This 416-nucleotide ribosomal RNA is filed under the name uncultured bacterium. RNAcentral's name for it is "bacterial SSU rRNA". It matches the Rfam family "Bacterial small subunit ribosomal RNA", at positions 355 to 786 of the family's 1533-position model. The record is from RNAcentral.
UGAGGGAUAUUGGGCAAUGGGGGAAACCCUGACCCAGCGACGCCGCGUGAGGGAAGACGGUCUUCGGAUUGUAAACCUCUGUCUUUGGGGGACGAAGAAGGACGGUACCCAAGGAGGAAGCUCCGGCUAACUACGUGCCAGCAGCCGCGGUAAUACGUAGGGAGCGAGCGUUGUCCGGAAUUACUGGGUGUAAAGGGAGCGUAGGCGGGAUUGCAAGUUGGAUGUGAAAACUGCGGGCUCAACCCGGAGAGUGCAUUCAAAACUGCGAUUCUUGAGUGAAGUAGAGGCAAGCGGAAUUCCUAGUGUAGCGGUGAAAUGCGUAGAUAUUAGGAGGAACACCAGUGGCGAAGGCGGCUUGCUGGGCUUUUACUGACGCUGAGGCUCGAAAGUGUGGGGAGCAAACAGGAUUAGAUACC